AAUAAACCAAUUUUUCACUUUUUAUCGAUAAUUUUUGACUCUUUAUCUUAUUCAAAUUUUUUUGCGAUUGAUAUUUUUGUUUUUAUUAGAUGAUAAAUCAUGAAUAGUACUUUUCGUGUGACUAAUUUUUUUUCUAAUUUCCUGAAAAUUUUUAAAUAAGACGGAUGGUCCAACGUUCGACACGGAAACC
Molecule: microRNA precursor, 190 nt
Filed under: Oryza brachyantha (malo sina)
Lineage: Eukaryota; Viridiplantae; Streptophyta; Magnoliopsida; Poales; Poaceae
Description: MIR812 microRNA precursor family
Rfam family: MIR812 microRNA precursor family
Source: Rfam by way of RNAcentral